GACGGGUGAGUAAUGCGUAGGAAUCUACCUAGUAGUACGGAAUAGCCAUUAGAAAUGGUGGGUAAUACUGUAUAAUCCCCGAGGGGGAAAGAUUUAUCGCUAUUAGAUGAGCCUACGUUAGAUUAGCUAGUUGGUGAGGUAAUGGCUUACCAAGGCUAUGAUCUAUAGCUGGUCUGAGAGGACGAUCAGCCACACUGGAGCUGAGAUACGGUCCAGACUCCUACGGGAGGCAGCAGUGGGGAAUAUUGGACAAUGGGCGAAAGCCUGAUCCAGCUAUGCCGCGUGAGUGAAGAAGGCCUUCGGGUU
RNAcentral lists this ribosomal RNA (306 nucleotides) under Ehrlichia canis. RNAcentral's name for it is "bacterial SSU rRNA". It matches the Rfam family "Bacterial small subunit ribosomal RNA", at positions 100 to 424 of the family's 1533-position model. The record is from RNAcentral. Lineage: Bacteria; Pseudomonadati; Pseudomonadota; Alphaproteobacteria; Rickettsiales; Anaplasmataceae.